RNAcentral lists this unclassified non-coding RNA (552 nucleotides) under Hevea brasiliensis (rubber tree). Lineage: Eukaryota; Viridiplantae; Streptophyta; Magnoliopsida; Malpighiales; Euphorbiaceae. The record is from RNAcentral.
AGGUAAAUUAAUAUAAUUUCUCAAGGGAAUAAAUGAAAUAUAUAUACAAGUGUGGGUGUGCAUCUACCAUGGCACAUGUUCCUAUAUUUUUUAUAUAUAAAAAAAUUAAUAUGUGAUUAUAUAUUACAAGUUAAAUUCUUAUUUAAACCUUAUUUAUUAUAUAUUCAAAAUAUAAGCAUAUAGAACAUAUGUAUUUAACAGGUAUAUCGCACUAUACAUUUUAUACCUUUAGUUCAUCAUCGUAUUAUUGUAUUAAUUAAUAUAUACACUCAAAUAACUUGAUAUCAAUGCUUCCUAUAUUAGUCCUUUCAAGUGUAUGGAAAGAUUAAUCAAAUAAAACUUCAUUGGUAAAUUUAAAGUUGUAUUCUUGGUACAUGAAAUAAUAGAUUUAGCAACGAAAAAUUUUACUGCUAAAAAUAUAAAAUUUGCUGUUAUAAGUUUAUGGCUAUAGUAUAUGAAUUGUUGAUGAUAUUGCUGAAAAAUUAUGAUUAUAAGUAUUUUACAGCAAAAUUAUAAUUAUUUAAAAAAAAAGUUAUUGAUAUUAACAAUUAU